GGGCCCGCACAAGCGGUGGAGCAUGUGGUUUAAUUCGAAGCAACGCGAAGAACCUUACCAGGUCUUGACAUCUUCUGAAAAUCUUAGAGAUAAGACGUUCCCUUCGGGGACAGAAUGACAGGUGGUGCAUGGUUGUCGUCAGCUCGUGUCGUGAGAUGUUGGGUUAAGUCCCGCAACGAGCGCAACCCUUAUUGCUAGUUGCCAGCAUUUAGUUGGGCACUCUAGUGAGACUGCCGGUGACAAACCGGAGGAAGGUGGGG
This 260-nucleotide ribosomal RNA is filed under the name uncultured prokaryote. RNAcentral describes it as "partial 16S ribosomal RNA". It matches the Rfam family "Bacterial small subunit ribosomal RNA", at positions 917 to 1178 of the family's 1533-position model. The record is from RNAcentral.